Molecule: ribosomal RNA, 163 nt
Filed under: Armillaria mellea
Lineage: Eukaryota; Fungi; Basidiomycota; Agaricomycetes; Agaricales; Physalacriaceae
Description: partial 26S ribosomal RNA
Rfam family: Eukaryotic large subunit ribosomal RNA
Source: RNAcentral
UGCGGAAACGCUUAGGUGACUUGUCUACGAAUUGUAAUCAUAAUAUGCGCGACGGUGAAUCCUUUGCAGACGACUUGAAUGGGAACGGGGUACUGUAAGUGGUAGAGUAGCCUUGUUGCUACGAUCCACUGAGGUUAAGCCCUUGUUCUAAAGAUUUGUUCAA